Molecule: ribosomal RNA, 367 nt
Filed under: Escherichia coli
Lineage: Bacteria; Pseudomonadati; Pseudomonadota; Gammaproteobacteria; Enterobacterales; Enterobacteriaceae
Description: bacterial SSU rRNA
Rfam family: Bacterial small subunit ribosomal RNA
Source: RNAcentral
UUAAAUUGAAGAGUUUGAUCAUGGCUCAGAUUGAACGCUGGCGGCAGGCCUAACACAUGCAAGUCGAACGGUAACAGGAAGAAGCUUGCUUCUUUGCUGACGAGUGGCGGACGGGUGAGUAAUGUCUGGGAAACUGCCUGAUGGAGGGGGAUAACUACUGGAAACGGUAGCUAAUACCGCAUAACGUCGCAAGACCAAAGAGGGGGACCUUCGGGCCUCUUGCCAUCGGAUGUGCCCAGAUGGGAUUAGCUAGUAGGUGGGGUAACGGCUCACCUAGGCGACGAUCCCUAGCUGGUCUGAGAGGAUGACCAGCCACACUGGAACUGAGACACGGUCCAGACUCCUACGGGAGGCAGCAGUGGGGAAU